Molecule: non-coding RNA, 73 nt
Organism: Sus scrofa (pig)
Lineage: Eukaryota; Metazoa; Chordata; Mammalia; Artiodactyla; Suidae
Source: Rfam
UCCCAGGUGGCCUAGCGGUUAAGCAUUCAGCAUUGUCACAGCUGUGACUCAGGUUCAAUUCCUGGCCCAGGAA